RNAcentral lists this ribosomal RNA (447 nucleotides) under uncultured bacterium. RNAcentral describes it as "bacterial SSU rRNA". It matches the Rfam family "Bacterial small subunit ribosomal RNA", at positions 355 to 825 of the family's 1533-position model. The record is from RNAcentral.
UGGGGAAUAUUGGACAAUGGGCGCAAGCCUGAUCCAGCCAUGCCGCGUGAGUGACGAAGGUCUUCGGAUUGUAAAGCUCUUUUACCAGGGACGAUAAUGACGGUACCUGGAGAAUAAGCCCCGGCUAACUUCGUGCCAGCAGCCGCGGUAAUACGAAGGGGGCUAGCGUUGUUCGGAAUUACUGGGCGUAAAGCGCACGUAGGCGGAUUUGUAAGUCAGGGGUGAAAUCCCGGGGCUCAACCUCGGAAUUGCCUCUGAUACUGGCUGUCUAGAGUUCGAGAGAGGUGAGUGGAAUUCCUAGUGUAGAGGUGAAAUUCGUAGAUAUUAGGAAGAACACCGGUGGCGAAGGCGGCUCACUGGCUCGAUACUGACACUGAGGUGCGAAAGCGUGGGGAGCAAACAGGAUUAGAUACCCCGGUAGUCCCUGAGCGGGCUGGCAAGGCGCAU